UUAGGGUAGCUACACUUUGCCAGCUAAGGCCAAACUUUGGACAAGUUCCAAAUUUCACUUGAGAGCUAAUGCGAACUUGUAAACUUUAGUUGAAAAUUGACUUUGGAAACUGCCUGUCAGAUUUUUGUAGACUAUUGUCAACCGUAGUA
This is a non-coding RNA of Caenorhabditis elegans, 149 nucleotides long. The record is from Ensembl. Lineage: Eukaryota; Metazoa; Nematoda; Chromadorea; Rhabditida; Rhabditidae.